RNAcentral lists this microRNA precursor (88 nucleotides) under Helianthus annuus (common sunflower). Its description in RNAcentral is "sRNA HanXRQr2_Chr05g0203871". It matches the Rfam family "mir-156 microRNA precursor family". Rfam says of the family: This family represents the plant microRNA (miRNA) precursor mir-156. Animal miRNAs are transcribed as ~70nt precursors and subsequently processed by the Dicer enzyme to give a ~22nt product. The record is from Rfam by way of RNAcentral. Lineage: Eukaryota; Viridiplantae; Streptophyta; Magnoliopsida; Asterales; Asteraceae.
CUGACAGAAGAGAGUGAGCACACGCAGGCAAUUGUAUAGAGGACUAUACUCUUGUUUGAGUUGCGUGUGCUCACUUCUCUUCUGUCAG